Alligator mississippiensis (American alligator) is the source of this 767-nucleotide long non-coding RNA. RefSeq lists it as uncharacterized. The record is from RefSeq and is a predicted model, not a curated record. Lineage: Eukaryota; Metazoa; Chordata; Crocodylia; Alligatoridae. The transcript is spliced from 2 exons.
GUACAGAAGAUGCCGCAAAUGCUCCCGUCCGUCUGACAACUGUAUAAAAGGUUGCACAGUGAGGAUAUUUUAAUCACUUCUUGACUUCUCUCUUCAGUGAGCCAGGUUCGCCUCCAUCACUGCAAGAUGUCUGACAGCCUGGACAUGCUGGAUGACCUGUACUACCAGAGUCCAGAUUGUUGUUGGAGACCCCGCCGCAGAAGGCCAUGUUAUUGUUGUUGCUAUGAUCCAUGCACUGGACAGCUAAUUUGGCAGGGAUGGUGCUGUUGCCCCGGGUGGGGCGGUAGGGGCAGAUACGGAAGGUGCUGGCCAUGCUAAAUCCAGCUCGGAUAUCCACGGCACGUGGAGGAAAGUGGACAUGACAAGCAAGAUACAGAUUCCUGGCUGACCCGACGGACAUGGCUCAGAGCAGUGCUAAGUGUGAGGGCUUGGCAUUGCUACAAGACUCCCUCCCCCAUUCUCCUGUCUCCUACGCUUUGCUUUGUUACUCUAGGAACUUUGUAUUCUCUGCACUGUUAAACAUUAAGGCCUCUUCAUGCGGUGCUGUCAUUUCAAUGGAUGCCUCUGCCUCCUUACAGUCCACUUGUAAUCCAUUGCAGACCACUUGACACAGCCACAGACGUGUAGAAGAUGUUUGGUGACAACAGAUGUAUAAUCCCAGCUGUGACCCUUUGGAAAACCUUGGGGAAAUUCGCUCUCUCCUCUGUAUCCCUUCCGUGUCUGUAUUCUCAAUUUCUUCCGUACAUUAAACUUCGUCUGCAGCAUAA